This 545-nucleotide ribosomal RNA is filed under the name Apis koschevnikovi. Its description in RNAcentral is "partial 16S ribosomal RNA". The stretch from base 393 to 545 matches the Rfam family "Bacterial large subunit ribosomal RNA", at positions 2473 to 2626 of the family's 2925-position model. Lineage: Eukaryota; Metazoa; Arthropoda; Insecta; Hymenoptera; Apidae. The record is from RNAcentral.
CAAAACAUGGCCUAUUGAUUAUAAUUUUAGGUCGAUCUGCUCCAUGAAGUAAAAUUUAAAUAGCUGCAGUAUAUUGACUGUACAAAGGUAGCAUAAUAAAUUGUCUUUUAAUUGAAGAAUUGAAUGAACGAAUUGAUGAAAUAACAACUGUCUCUAUUUUAUUGAAUGAAUUUAAAUUUUUAGUUAAAAUGCUAAAAUUUAAUUAUGGGACGAUAAGACCCUAUAGAAUUUUAUUUAAAUAAUUAUUUAUUUAAAUUAUUUGUAAAUAAAUAAUUAAUUUAAAUUUGAUUGGGAGGAUUGGUAAAUAUAAAUAACUUUAUCUUAUAAAUAAUUUUAAUUAGAAAAUAUUUUUUGAUCUAUAAAUUAUAAUUAAAAGAAUAAAUUACCUUAGGGAUAACAGCGUAAUAUCUUUUGAUAGACCAUAUUGAUAAAGAUGAUUGCGACCUCGAUGUUGAAUUAAGAUAAAAAUUAGACGCAGAAGUUUAAAAAUUUAAGUCUGUUCGACUUUUAAAAUCUUACAUGAUUUGAGUUCAAAUCGACGUAGU